GCAGUCUGAUUGCAGCAAUGAGAAUCAGCUGCCGUAAUUGGCUCACACCAGUCGCCUGUUUGCAAUUCCACCUCCCAGCAUAUAAGCCAGCUCUGUCAUUCCCUCCCUGCUCCACCACGGAGUCGCAUAUCCUGCGUCAGCUCAUGACCACCAGAGCUUCUUGGACACGACUCUGCCCUCGUAGCCCUGCCAGUUCCUGUAUGGGUUUCCUACCUACCCCUUCAGCUGAGUUUCUUCCCGUUCCCUUCCUCCCUGACCGUUCCACCUGCCUGCGGUCUGAUUGCAGCAAUGAGAAUCAGCUGCCGUAAUUGGCUCACACCAGUCGCCUGUUUGCAAUUCCACCUCCCAGCAUAUAAGCCAGCUCUGUCAUUCACUCCCUGCUCCACCAUGGACUUGCAUAUCCUGCGUCAGCUCAUGACCACCAGAGCUUCUUGGACACGACUCUGCCCUCGUAGCCCUGCCAGUUCCUGUAUGGGUUUCCUACCUACCCCUUCAGCUGAGUUUCUUCCCGUUCCCUUCCUCCCUGACUGUUCCACCUGCCUGCGGUCUGAUUGCAGCAAUGAGAAUCAGCUGCCGUAAUUGGCUCACACCAGUCGCCUGUUUGCAAUUCCACCUCCCAGCAUAUAAGCCAGCUCUGUCAUUCACUCUCUGCUCCACCAUGGACUUGCAUAUCCUGCAUCAACUCAUGACCACCAGAGCUUCUUGGACACGAUGCUGCCCUUGUACCCCUGCCAGUUCUUGUUUGGGUUUCCUACCUACCCCUUCAGCUGAGUUUCUUCCUGUGACCAUGUGCUACAAAGCAUUACCGGGUAACAAAUACACCUGAUGAAGAUCAGAAAUAUUCAAGCAGAAACCUUCAGCUUCCACGAAGGUGGAAAUCAUUCUGCCAUGAAGACCUAACAACCUUCAAAGACAAUUUGAAAAUGGGUGACGCGGACCUUCCUGGAGGAUGUUGCACAAGGAGUUUUGUGAUUGUUGCCACAUUCUGGUGUCGACUCCACUCCAUUCCACUUGACUCCAUUUGACUGCACUGAUUGCCUUUUGUAUUUAUAGAUCAUCGUGAGAAAUCGCAAGAAUCGAUUUUUUUUUUUUUUAAUGUUUUGUACAAGUUUG
Molecule: long non-coding RNA, 1113 nt
Organism: Amphiprion ocellaris (clown anemonefish)
Lineage: Eukaryota; Metazoa; Chordata; Actinopteri; Pomacentridae
Source: Ensembl